This is an RNA transcript of Myotis lucifugus (little brown bat), 1989 nucleotides long. It is a transcript of the gene named cyclin-dependent kinase 11B pseudogene, with no coding region annotated. The record is from RefSeq and is a predicted model, not a curated record. Lineage: Eukaryota; Metazoa; Chordata; Mammalia; Chiroptera; Vespertilionidae. The transcript has 3 exons.
AUGGGCCACGAAAGAAGAAAGGAGGAGGAGCACGCCAGAGUGAAGGAGAAGGAGCGGGAGCAUGAGCACAGAAAGCAGCACGGAGAGGAGCCGGACAAAGCUCGCAGGGAGUGGGAGAGGCGGAAGCGGCGGGAGAUGGUGAGAGAGCAUUCCCGGAGAGAGGGGGCCCGCCUGGAGCAGCUGGAAAAGGGGUGGGAGCGGGAGCAGAGGCUGCGGGAGCAGCAGAAAGGAGCUGCGGGAGCAGCAGCAGGAGCUGCGCAAGGCUCGGGGAGGCCCUCUGCACGUCACCGAGCAGUGCGAAGAGGACCAGGGCGAUAAAGUGAAGGCCAGCCACCGGAGCCGCACCCCGCCCCGGCCUUCCGCGGGAGAGGUUUGAGCUGAGAGACGGCCGGAAAGCCAGUGAAAGAAGAGAAGGUGAAAGAGAGAGCCUGCUGUCUGUCCUACAAGACAUCAGCGACAACGAGCGGAAGACCAGCUCGCCCGAGUCCCUCCUCAGCGGAAAUCAGGGUCGGGUUCUAAGGAGGAGGAAACGGAGAUGGAGGGGAGCAGCAGUGAAGAAUCAGAGGAGGAAGAGGAGACUGGGAGCAACCCCCAGGACGUGUCUGGACAGUCGGCAGAGGAGGUGAGUGAGGAAGAAAUGAGUGAAGACGGAGAGCGAGAGGCUGAGAACCACAUCCUCGUUGUUCGAUUUGACCGAGGUUCCGGGGACAGUGAAGAAGGGAAGGAAGAGGUGGGCGAGGGCACCCCCCACAGCACCGCCCUGACGGAAGGCGAGUUCGCGCCGGACUCCCCAGCCCUGUCGCCCAUCGAGCCCAAGCAGGAGCUGCCCAAGUACCUGCCCGCUCUGCAGGGCUGUCGCAGUGUGGAGGAGUUCCAGUGCCUGAACAGGAUUGAGGAGGGCACCUACGGGGUGGUGUACAGAGCAAAGGACAAGAAGACAGAUGAGAUUGUGGCUCUGAAGCAGCUGAAAAUGGAGAAGGAGAAGGAAGGCUUUCCGAUCACGUCGCUGAGGGAGAUCAGCACCAUUCUCAAGGCGCAGCACCCCAACAUCGUGACGGUCAGGGAGAUCGUCGUGGGCAGCAACAUGGACAAGAUUUACAUUGUGAUGAACUACGUGGAGCAUGACCUCAAGAGCCUGAUGGAGACCAUGAAGCAGCCUUUCCUGCCAGGGGAGGUGAAGACACUGAUGAUCCAGCUGCUGUGCGGAGUGAAGCACCUGCACGACAACUGGAUCCUGCACCGAGACCUCAAGACCUCCAACCUGCUGCUGAGCCACACCGGCAUCCUCAAGGUGGGUGACUUUGGGCUGGCGCGGGAGUAUGGGUCCCCUCUGAAGGCCUACACCCCUGUUGUCGUGACCUUGUGGUACCGUGCCCCAGAGCUGCUGCUGGGGGCCAAGGAGUACUCCACGGCCGUGGACAUGUGGUCUGUGGGGUGCAUCUUUGGGGAGCUGCUGACACAGAAACCACUGUUCCCAGGGAAGUCGGAGAUUGAUCAGAUCAACAAAGUGUUUAAGGACCUGGGGACGCCCAGUGAGAAGAUCUGGCCCGGCUACAACCAGCUGCCCGCCGUGAAGAAGAUGACCUUCACCGAGUACCCCUACAACAACCUGCGCAAGCGCUUCGGGGCGCUGCUCUCUGACCAGGGCUUUGACCUCAUGAACAAGUUCCUGACCUACUUUCCUGAGCGGAGGGUCAGCGCAGAGGACGGUCUCAAGCACGAGUAUUUCCACGAGACCCCCCUCCCCAUCGACCCCUCGAUGUUCCCCACGUGGCCCGCCAAGAGUGAACAGCAAAGGGUGAAGCGUGGCACCAGCCCGAGACCCCCCAAGGGAGGCCUCGGCUUCCACCAGCUGGGUGACGACCUGAAGGAGACCGGCUUCCACCUCACCACCACCAACCGGGGGGCCUCGGCCACAGGCCCUGGCUUCAGCCUCAAGUUCUGAGAUUCAGAGUGGACCCCAGAAACAGUGGGACCAGGGGCAGGAGC